Molecule: ribosomal RNA, 200 nt
Filed under: uncultured bacterium
Lineage: Bacteria
Description: partial 16S ribosomal RNA
Rfam family: Bacterial small subunit ribosomal RNA
Source: RNAcentral
ACGCUCGACACCUACGGAAGGCAGCAGUGGGGGAUAUUGCGCAAUGGGGGAAACCCUGACGCAGCAACGCCGCGUGAAGGACGAAGGUUUUCGGAUUGUAAACUUCUUUUGUUAGGGACGAAGAAAUGACGGUACCUGACGAAUAAGCUCCGGCUAACUACGUGCCAGCAGCCGCGGUAAUCUGAGCGGGCUGGCAAGGC